RNAcentral lists this long non-coding RNA (900 nucleotides) under Chrysemys picta bellii (western painted turtle). RNAcentral describes it as "lncRNA (ENSCPBG00000019951.1)". Lineage: Eukaryota; Metazoa; Chordata; Testudines; Emydidae. The record is from RNAcentral.
AGAUUCAUCCCAUAUGUCUGUGCUUUUCAGACAACGUGCGCGCGCGCGUGUGUGCGGGUGUGGGGAGUUAUAUAUAUAUUGGAGUAGUUUUCUUGCAUUGCUUACUUGUCAUUUAGUUACUUGUAUUAAGGAAUUGAUAAUAGCCAAGCUGUGCAAUGAGGGUGCCGAAGGUGGCUGCAUGUGUACGUUUUGACAGGAGAACGAUUGGCGUUUUUAGUGAGCAAUGUGGAAAACGCAAUUCCCUUUGAGGUGGCAGUGUAGAAGCCAAGAACAAAAACUGACAGAAGUUACUAUUCUCUAUAAGAAAAUGAAGAGAGUGAACACAUGACUAAUCACAGGAACCUGAAAAACCACAGGAAUGAAAUGCUGAUAGCUCCUUACUUUGGAGAGUGACUGAAAGAAAACAGAUCAUUCAUACAGUAUACAACAAAGGCAUUUUAUAAUCUGAUUUGUCUACCUGUGAUGAAGAAUUUUAGUUAAUGGAAGCUGCAGCAGUCUGUCACCAGGAAAUAUACUGCUUUAUUCAGAAUGGGUCCCAGGAGGUGUUGCGGAAGGGCAAAGGAGGCUGGACAUCUCCUCUACACUCUCACAACUCCUGCAGUUCCUAGGGCUAGGCAACUUUUCCAACUCGCCUCCAUGUGCAAUGACUUCCAAGGGGUAGCUGUGGCAGCUGGGGACUGCUGGAGCACACUGCACUCUGACCAUGCCUUCCUCCCCUUACAAAUCUACUGCGGUAUGGUACGGAGCCAGCAAUGCCAGUUCUACACCCCCUGGAAUUCUCCUACACCAGAGCUUGAAGGCUCUUUUGUGCUGCUAGAAAAACCUAAAGCAGCCUUAUCAGGGCUGAGCAGCCACCCCCUUGUCUUCGUCCUCACCUGCAAAGCAUCUAGCCUGCUAUGA